This 470-nucleotide ribosomal RNA is filed under the name uncultured Pseudomonadota bacterium. RNAcentral's name for it is "bacterial SSU rRNA". It matches the Rfam family "Bacterial small subunit ribosomal RNA", at positions 505 to 975 of the family's 1533-position model. Lineage: Bacteria; Pseudomonadati; Pseudomonadota. The record is from RNAcentral.
GUGCCAGCAGCCGCGGUAAUACGUAGGGUGCAAGCGUUAAUCGGAAUUACUGGGCGUAAAGCGUGCGCAGGUGGUUUGUUAAGACAGUUGUGAAAUCCCCGGGCUCAACCUGGGAACUGCAAUUGUGACUGGCAGACUAGAGUUUGGCAGAGGGGGGUGGAAUUCCUGGUGUAGCAGUGAAAUGCGUAGAUAUCAGGAGGAGCACCGAUGGCGAAGGCAGCCCCCUGGGCCAUGACUGACACUCAUGCACGAAAGCGUGGGGAGCAAACAGGAUUAGAUACCCUGGUAGUCCACGCCCUAAACGAUGUCAACUAGUUGUUGGGUCUUCAUUGACUUAGUAACGUAGCUAACGCGUGAAGUUGACCGCCUGGGGAGUACGGCCGCAAGGUUAAAACUCAAAGGAAUUGACGGGGACCCGCACAAGCGGUGGAUGAUGUGGAUUAAUUCGAUGCAACGCGCAGAACCUUACC